GCUUGACCACAUAAGCGCAGUAUUAUGACGAGACUGAGCAAGGUCACCUUUUUCAUCUGUAAAGGCCCAGGUCGUGAGCACGGCACCUUGAACGAGGCAUUAGUGUGAGUGGGUUGCAGUGUGGGCCCUGAGCUGGUCAGUGGAUUUUGUUAGUUUGUUUUGCCUGUCAGGCAGGCUUUGCAAGCACCUUGUGACAGCGGAGUACAACUCCUGCCACGUUCCUGAGGCGCGCCAGACAUCAGCGGUUCCAGUUCCUGAAAUGCUGGAGAUGCUCGGAGCGCAAGGGGAGCAGGGAGCGUGAUGCAUCUCUUUGGGAUGUGAGGUGAGCGAAGCGGUGGUAUUGGGUUGGGGGACGUGGGUCCGGGGCUUCUUGGCUGUUGGGGUAGGGGAGCAAAGGAGUGGGUAUAGACUGUUUUGUGGAUUGUCAGAUUUGUCUGUUCUUUCUCCUUGGUCUAAGCCAUGUGACCUUAGCUCGGCACAGUCGUGAACGGAAGCGCUAAGCCUGGAUCGGGAAGGUGAAGAGGAGCCUCGUGCCUGAAGCAACAUCCUGGCUAGCCUUUGUGUUCCUUGUUGAGGAUGGAACCUGCCUCCCAGCAUUCCCAAGCUAAGCUGGGGGGCAGGUUCUAUGUUUGAGUCGGGGUUGUGAAUGGACACACAGGGCGAGGGUCUGUGCUUUUAAGUCAUUGCAGCGGAUGGGGCCUGUCAGGAUGGAUCGGGUCAGUCAGAGAGAUCAUGUGAGGGGUUUCUGUCAGGUACAGCUUGAGCACGUGCCAGGCAGGGCAGUUCCAGCUUGGUGUCUGUGUUCUGUGUUGUCUGUGCUGUGCUG
Long non-coding RNA from Oxyura jamaicensis (ruddy duck), 826 nucleotides. RefSeq lists it as uncharacterized. The record is from RefSeq and is a predicted model, not a curated record. NCBI's taxonomy places the organism in Eukaryota, Metazoa, Chordata, Aves, Anseriformes, Anatidae. The transcript is spliced from 3 exons.